This 405-nucleotide unclassified non-coding RNA is filed under the name soil metagenome. RNAcentral describes it as "partial contains 5.8S ribosomal RNA, internal transcribed spacer 2, and large subunit ribosomal RNA". The stretch from base 1 to 122 matches the Rfam family "5.8S ribosomal RNA", at positions 35 to 154 of the family's 154-position model. The record is from RNAcentral.
GAUGAAGAACGUAGCAAAAUGCGAUACUUGGUGUGAAUUGCAGAAUCCCGUGAACCAUCGAGUUUUUGAACGCAAGUUGCGCCCGAAGCCUUUUGGCCGAGGGCACGUCUGCCUGGGCGUCACGCAUCGCGUCCCCCCCCCACAAUUCUCCGUAAAGGGAACAUGUGUUUUGGGGGCGGAUAUUGGUCUCCCGUGCUCAUGGCGUGGUUGGCCGAAAUAGGAGUCCUUUCGAUGGACGCACGAACUAGUGGUGGUCGUAAAAACCCUCGUCUUUUGUUUCGUGCUGUUGCUCGCAAGGUAAACUCUUUAAAAACCCCAAUGCGUCGUCUCUUGACGACGCUUCGACCGCGACCCCAGGUCAGGCGGGACUACCCGCUGAGUUUAAGCAUAUCAAUAAGCGGAGGA